AUUAGCUCAGUCGGUAGAGCAUCUGACUUUUAAUCAGAGGGUCGAAGGUUCGAGUCCUUCAUG
Molecule: transfer RNA, 63 nt
Filed under: Bacillus pumilus
Lineage: Bacteria; Bacillati; Bacillota; Bacilli; Caryophanales; Bacillaceae
Also listed under: 9 other names
Rfam family: tRNA
About the family: Transfer RNA (tRNA) molecules are approximately 80 nucleotides in length.
Source: RNAcentral